UACGUAGGGCGCAAGCGUUGUCCGGAAUUAUUGGGCGUAAAGAGCUCGUAGGCGGCUUGUCACGUCGGGUGUGAAAGCCCGGGGCUUAACCCCGGGUCGGCAUUCGAUACGGGCUAGCUAGAGUGUGGUAGGGGAGAUCGGAAUUCCUGGUGUAGCGGUGAAAUGCGCAGAUAUCAGGAGGAACACCGGUGGUGAAGGCGGAUCGCUGGGCCAGCACUGACGCUGAGGAGCGAAAGCGUGGGGAGCGAACAGG
Molecule: ribosomal RNA, 253 nt
Filed under: uncultured bacterium
Lineage: Bacteria
Description: partial 16S ribosomal RNA
Rfam family: Bacterial small subunit ribosomal RNA
Source: RNAcentral